Molecule: ribosomal RNA, 403 nt
Filed under: bacterium
Lineage: Bacteria
Description: partial 16S ribosomal RNA
Rfam family: Bacterial small subunit ribosomal RNA
Source: RNAcentral
UGGGGAAUAUUGCACAAUGGGGGAAACCCUGAUGCAGCGACGCCGCGUGAACGAAGAAGGUAUUCGUAUCGUAAAGUUCUGUCCUAUGGGAAGAUAAUGACAGUACCAUAGAAGAAAGCUCCGGCUAAAUACGUGCCAGCAGCCGCGGUAAUACGUAUGGAGCGAGCGUUGUCCGGAAUUAUUGGGCGUAAAUGGUACGCAGGCGGUUUAAUAAGUCGAAUGUUAAAGAUCGGGGCUCAACCCCGCAAAGCAUUGGAAACUGAUAAACUUGAGUAGUGGAGAGGAAAGUGGAAUUCCUAGUGUAGUGGUGAAAUACGUAGAUAUUAGGAGGAGUACCAGUAGCGAAGGCGACUUUCUGGACACAAACUGACGCUGAGGUACGAAAGCGUGGGGAGCAAACAGG